GAUGAACGCUGGCGGCGUGCCUAAUACAUGCAAGUCGAGCGAACGGACGAGAAGCUUGCUUCUCUGAUGUUAGCGCGGACGGGUGAGUAACACGUGGAUAACCUACCUAUAAGACUGGGAUAACUUCGGGAAACCGGAGCUAAUACCGGAUAAUAUUUUGAACCGCAUGGUUCAAAAGUGAAAGACGGUCUUGCUGUCACUUAUAGAUGGAUCCGCGCUGCAUUAGCUAGUUGGUAAGGUAACGGCUUACCAAGGCAACGAUGCAUAGCCGACCUGAGAGGGUGAUCGGCCACACUGGAACUGAGACACGGUCCAGACUCCUACGGGAGGCAGCAGUAGGGAAUCUUCCGCAAUGGGCGAAAGCCUGACGGAGCAACGCCGCGUGAGAGAUGAAGGUCUUCGGAUCGUAAAACUCUGUUAUUAGGGAAGAACAUAUGUGUAAGUAACUGUGCACAUCUUGACGGUACCUAAUCAGAAAGCCACGGCUAACUACGUG
Molecule: ribosomal RNA, 496 nt
Filed under: uncultured bacterium
Lineage: Bacteria
Description: partial 16S ribosomal RNA
Rfam family: Bacterial small subunit ribosomal RNA
Source: RNAcentral